GGCACUUUCAGUGUCCGAGUUGUAAUUUGUAGAAGCAACUUUGGAUUUGGUCCUUGCAUAAGUUCCUUGGAAUAGGACGUCAUAGAGGGUGAGAAUCCCGUUUAUGGUGAGGAUACCAUUUCUUUGUAAAGUGCUUUCGAAGAGUCGAGUUGUUUGGGAAUGCAGCUCUAAGUGGGUGGUAAAUUCCAUCUAAAGCUAAAUAUUGGCGAGAGACCGAUAGCGAACAAGUACUGUGAAGGAAAGAUGAAAAGAACUUUGAAAAGAGAGUGAAAAAGUACGUGAAAUUGUUGAAAGGGAAGGGCUUGAAAUCAGACUUGGUAUUCAGUGAUCAAUUACCUUUCGGGGUGGUGCACUCGCUGUUUACUGGGCCAGCAUCGGUUUGAGCGGUAGGAUAAUGACUUUGGAAUGUGGCUCUUCGGAGUGUUAUAGCCUUUGUUGAUACUACCAGUUUGGACCGAGGACCGCGUCUUUGACUAGGAUGCUGGCGUAAUGGUUUUAAGCCACCCGUCUUGAAC
Molecule: ribosomal RNA, 515 nt
Filed under: Zygoascus bituminiphila
Lineage: Eukaryota; Fungi; Ascomycota; Dipodascomycetes; Dipodascales; Trichomonascaceae
Description: partial large subunit ribosomal RNA
Rfam family: Eukaryotic large subunit ribosomal RNA
Source: RNAcentral